GGUACGUUCUAUCGCUUAGCAACUGUUACCAUGGCCACUGUGACGAAUAAUGAUGUCACUAAUCCUGAGUCAUGCUUUCCUUUCCCUUGCAAUCCGACAAGGUCACGUACACUUUGAGGAGAAUAGGCGAUAUUAACCCAUCAUUUACCACCCUCGUCCAUCAUUUAAUAUGAGCUGAAUAAACCAAACACCAUUUAUCCAGACCACACCUUUUCCCUUUUUGUUGUUACAUUUUUUUAGAAAUGGAAGCUGAGUUCUCUCCCCUGUCAGCUGCUGUGCAUUGGUACGGUCCAAACGGACUCUUUAACUGACUCUGAUUGGUCGUUGCCUCCUCUCUACCCCCACUCUUCCCUGCAGCAGGGAGCAAAGCAUUGUGGGAAACUCCUAGGUUGGUUCCUGCAGAGCAUCCUGUGAGCUGCAGAGUGAGUGAAGCAGGGAGCUACUGUAGAAGCAACAGAAAUUUAAAAUGGAAGCUAAGCCCCGUACUACAAGUGUGAAGAAGACUGACAAGACCACCCCUGCUGCAGGGGUAGAGAAGAAAGAAGGGUCCAUCAAAGAACAGUCUAAUCCUACAUCUAAGAAGGCAACAACAGGAGACUCUGCACCAGCCAACAAUGAAAGCUCCAAACCCACUGUACCAGAGCCUCAGGAGCCACCAGCAACAACAGAGAAUAAAUCCAAUGGGGAGGAGCAGGAGGCUUCCAAUGGAGCGGCAGAGGGUUCCGGAUUUGAGGGCCUAAAACCAAUAUUAGUGGCUGCAGGAGUGGCUGUUGCCACCAUUGCCGUUAUUGUGGGGGUAGUAUUUUUGGCCCGGAAAAAGUAAACUGUUGGUUGUAUGUAGGCAAAAAUGUAUCAAUUGUUCUCAGCAGAGGCGAAUAUGUACAGUUUCUUCAGCAAACGUCGCAUGUCUCAGAUUUGUUAUUCAUCACAUGCAGCCAUUCAGGUAUCAGGAAGAUGAUCAGGGAAAACAAGAAUCUGUGGGUGACCACUAUGUGUACGAAAGUUAAAAAUGGCUGUCCGGCUUUAUACCACUGAGCAAACAACGGACAAGAUUUUGGGUCGGACAGCAUAGUUUCUUGUAUUAUUUCAUUAUAUGUUUCCAAUGUUAUAUUUAUUUAAUGUUUUCAGGUUUGAAGCAACAACUUCUAUGUUCCUCUUAAUGUUCAUCUUUCCUUUUUAUAUGUCUACAUACUGUGCCGAAGGCCAUGCCAUACUUUAAAAGCCCUGACAGAUGUUUAUGAUGUUCUUAUACCUACAAGGCAUAUCCUGCUUAUUUGCCUUUGCUUGGUUUUCCACCAUAUAUAAUUAAACUUGAUCCCCAUGACUCCCACAGGAGACUUGUAAUCCAUGCCACUUGUCUGCCUUUUGAUAUCUUCCCAUUCCACAAUGUCUAUAUUUUCUGUCUUGACCUGAUAUUUCUCAACAUUUUCAAUUCCAACUUGAAAUCUUGUACUUUCUAAUUGCCCGUGCUAUUAAAGCUUAAUAUUCUUAUUCAUUACAGUGCCAAACAUUGGCGUCAAAACAUAUCUUAAAAGCAAGGCACUGUAAAGAGGGGAUAAGUGAUAUGAGGAAACCUGGAAAUAGCCGUCAGAUGCGGCUCACUUGAUUAUCCAAUUUCUCCAUUAAGCACGAAAUGGAUAUUCGCAUUAGCUAUUUUUAGGUAGUUAGGUAGCUUUUUUUAAAUUUCAUUACAGUUUUUCUUUGACUUAUCAUUUCAAGAUUAUAAUGUAUAUAUAUGCGCACACAUUUAAUGGGGUAGGUCUGUGAAAACUUGUGCUUAGGAAGAUAUUGGGGAAGAUUUAUCAAAACCUGUGCAGAGGGAAAUUUCCCCAGUUGCCCAUAGCAACCAAUCAGCUCGCUUCUUUCAUUUUUAACAAGGUCUCUGUAAAAUAAGCAAUCUGAUUGGUUGCUAUGGGCAACUGGGCAACUUUUCCUUUGCACAGGUUUUGAUAAAUCUCCCCCAUUAAUUCUAUGUAUUAGAGUAGACAACCUGAUUCUGUGACUGUUUGUUAUACGUACCAGAUGUAGUCAUGGUUAGAAAUGGAGUAGAUUUUGGGGGAUAUCAAAAUACAAACGAAAUAGCUUUGGCUCUAGUAACGUGCUUUACCAUAGGCUUUACAGAUUAAGAAUUGAUGCAGAUUUGAUGCUGUGUAAAUUAGUGUAACUGAAAGAUUAAAUACAGUAUUAAAUCAGCAGCAUCAAAUCUGCAGCAAACGCCGUACAUGUGAAUGUACCCCAAAGGGAACCUUUCAUGAAUCAUUGGGGUGGUCCCUGGUGGCUUCUGCCUGCUUCACUAACCUACAAUCACAGACAAAGUGCCCAAGUAGAGUCAUUUCCUGAGUAAAAUAUAGGUGUAAGGGAAUAUAAUAAAUAGUUUACCUAAAUUACAUGUAUUGAAAGCAAUGAAAUAAGACACUAGCCAAUAAAUUAAAAACAAACGCCAUUUACCGUAAGCUUCACAGUUUCACAUGUAGACCACAAUUACGCCUUGUAGUAAUACCUACUAAAUAUAUUGAGCUUCCAUCAAGUAAACUGUUGGCCUCCUUUAAAGGGAACCUGUUAUCACUUUUAUGCUACCCGAAUCACAAAUUAUUAGGGUGGUCCUCUAUGACUUCUUCCCGCCCAGACAGCCAUGACAGGUAAACUUUUCUUGUAAAAUCUUGUAGUUUUAUUAAAUAUAUAUAAAAAAAAAAA
Long non-coding RNA from Hyla sarda, 2694 nucleotides. RefSeq lists it as uncharacterized. The record is from RefSeq and is a predicted model, not a curated record. Lineage: Eukaryota; Metazoa; Chordata; Amphibia; Anura; Hylidae. The transcript has 2 exons.